Molecule: long non-coding RNA, 434 nt
Filed under: Setaria italica (foxtail millet)
Lineage: Eukaryota; Viridiplantae; Streptophyta; Magnoliopsida; Poales; Poaceae
Description: long non-coding RNA (SITA_LNC005647)
Source: RNAcentral
GAACCAAAAACACACACCCUCCUUAAACUGUGAAAGGAGCUAUUUGAAAGUAACAGAACCCACUAAUACUUGUGUUGAUUAACAGUUCAAAACUACAUCUCUACUGGUGACAUCAUUUUAUUUGUACGCAGAGUGACAGGACAUUCCUUGGUUCUACGCACACUCCUACAACUCAGGGAGGACGCGAACUGGCAUCGGCAGAGCUUUUCAGAGCAAGCAGGGACACACCUGAACUUCGUGCACCAUCAACUCUCCAUGGCAGUAGAGAUCCAGUGCAUCUGAGCACUAUGCUUUCCCGUAGUGCUUCCAAUUUGCCUCCUAUUCCCGGGCACCACUACUGAUUCUUCAAGACUCUCUGAGAAUCUGACCAGUGACCAUCCUGCAUCUUCUUUUUAUCCUCUGUACGUAGUCUACACUCUAUGCUUUGUUACUUG